This is a long non-coding RNA of Lepisosteus oculatus (spotted gar), 302 nucleotides long. RefSeq lists it as uncharacterized. The record is from RefSeq and is a predicted model, not a curated record. Lineage: Eukaryota; Metazoa; Chordata; Actinopteri; Semionotiformes; Lepisosteidae.
GUGCUGCUGCUCUGCAGUGUGGCCGCUGCUGUGAGGGGGAGAGGGGGGAGAUCGCAGCUCCAGCAGCACUCUGAGACUCGGGUGCGAAAGGAGAGCAGAGAGGCUGUGGGGGCUGAAGGACACUAUCAGGAGCUCUCUCACAGGGACACUGCAGUGUAUGAGGUCUGUGGGACUCAGCAUCAGCACAGGACACAGUAGAGCAGAGCUGCCCUCUGGAGCUGCACAGCAGGAGGACACAGCUGGAAGAAGAGAAGAAGAGACAAAAGCACAGAGGAGCUGUAAUGUUCUCACUCAGAUCAGCA